RNAcentral lists this transfer RNA (27 nucleotides) under Ursus arctos (brown bear). Its description in RNAcentral is "partial tRNA-proline". Lineage: Eukaryota; Metazoa; Chordata; Mammalia; Carnivora; Ursidae. The record is from RNAcentral.
CAGGGAAUAGUUUAAAUAGAACAUCAG